GGCGGUGGCGAGCUACACAUGCAGUCGAGCGGAUGAAGGGAGCUUGCUCCCUGAUUCAGCGGCGGACGGGUGAGUAAUGCCUAGGAAUCUGCCUGGUAGUGGGGGACAACGUCUCGAAAGGGACGCUAAUACCGCAUACGUCCUACGGGAGAAAGUGGGGGAUCUUCGGACCUCACGCUAUCAGAUGAGCCUAGGUCGGAUUAGCUAGUUGGUGAGGUAAUGGCUCACCAAGGCGACGAUCCGUAACUGGUCUGAGAGGAUGAUCAGUCACACUGGAACUGAGACACGGUCCAGACUCCUACGGGAGGCAGCAGUGGGGAAUAUUGGACAAUGGGCGAAAGCCUGAUCCAGCCAUGCCGCGUGUGUGAAGAAGGUCUUCGGAUUGUAAAGCACUUUAAGUUGGGAGGAAGGGCAGUAAAUUAAUACUUUGCUGUUUUGACGUUACCGACAGAAUAAGCACCGGCUAACUCUGUGCCAGCAGCCGCGGUAAUACAGAGGGUGCAAGCGUUAAUCGGAAUUACUGGGCGUAAAGCGCGCGUAGGUGGUUUGUUAAGUUGGAUGUGAAAUCCCCGGGCUCAACCUGGGAACUGCAUCCAAAACUGGCAAGCUAGAGUAGGGCAGAGGGUGGUGGAAUUUCCUGUGUAGCGGUGAAAUGCGUAGAUAUAGGAAGGAACACCAGUGGCGAAGGCGACCACCUGGGCUCAUACUGACACUGAGGUGCGAAAGCGUGGGGAGCAAACAGGAUUAGAUACCCUGGUAGUCCACGCCGUAACGAUGUCAACUAGCCGUUGGAAGCCUUGAGCUUUUAGUGGCGCAGCUAACGCAUUAAGUUGACCGCCUGGGGGAGUACGGCCGCAAGGUUAAAACUCAAAAUGAUGACGGGGCCCGCACAAGGCGGGUGGGAGCAUGUGGAUUAUCGAGGCACGCGAGAUCUACCAGUCUUGAACAUCCAGUGUGGAACCCUUAUCAUAC
This 972-nucleotide ribosomal RNA is filed under the name Pseudomonas sp. FS13. RNAcentral describes it as "bacterial SSU rRNA". It matches the Rfam family "Bacterial small subunit ribosomal RNA", at positions 38 to 1007 of the family's 1533-position model. Lineage: Bacteria; Pseudomonadati; Pseudomonadota; Gammaproteobacteria; Pseudomonadales; Pseudomonadaceae. The record is from RNAcentral.